GGGGGCCCGCACAAGCGGCGGAGCAUGCGGAUUAAUUCGAUGCAACGCGAAGAACCUUACCAAGGCUUGACAUAUACCGGAAACGGCCAGAGAUGGUCGCCCCGCAAGGUCGGUAUACAGGUGGUGCAUGGUUGUCGUCAGCUCGUGUCGUGAGAUGUUGGGUUAAGUCCCGCAACGAGCGCAACCCUCGUUCUAUGUUGCCAGCACGUAAUGGUGGGAACUCAUGGGAUACUGCCGGGGUCAACUCGGAGGAAGGUGGGGACGACGUCAAAUCAUCAUGCCCCUUAUGUCUUGGGCUUCACGCAUGCUACAAUGGCCAGUACAAAGGGCUGCAAUACCGUAAGGUGGAGCGAAUCCCAAAAAGCUGGUCCCAGUUCGGAUUGAGGUCUGCAACUCGACCUCAUGAAGUCGGAGUCGCUAGUAAUCGCAGAUCAGCAACGCUGCGGUGAAUACGUUCCCGGGCCUUGUACACACCGCCCGUCAAGUCAUGAAAGUCGGUAACACCCGACGCCGGUGGCCUAACCCUUUAUUGGGAGGGAGCCGUCUAAGGUGGGAUUGGUAAUUAGGACUAAGUCGUAACAAGGUAACCGUAAGGGC
Molecule: ribosomal RNA, 597 nt
Filed under: uncultured bacterium
Lineage: Bacteria
Description: bacterial SSU rRNA
Rfam family: Bacterial small subunit ribosomal RNA
Source: RNAcentral